RNA transcript from Fopius arisanus, 476 nucleotides. RefSeq lists it as uncharacterized. The record is from RefSeq and is a predicted model, not a curated record. The transcript is spliced from 3 exons. NCBI's taxonomy places the organism in Eukaryota, Metazoa, Arthropoda, Insecta, Hymenoptera, Braconidae.
UGUGAAUGUCGCUUGUUGGAUUUUUUCAACACAACAUUUUGAAAUUCCGUAGGAGUAAGAAUUGUUGUGAGCAUGGAAAACAAUUUUUACCACUUGAUUUCUUCACUCCCACUGCGCAGUUCUCAUCACCGGAGAUAAUGGUGCUCGUGCAAUUAACGAGUUCAUUGCUCGCACUAUUCCUGCAAUUACUCAACAUCUCACUGGAUAUAUUCCUCACUUUUUUCCCGAUGACGUCAUUAAUCUCAAGGAGUAAUUUCGAAUUUUAGGUGAUUCACACGAGGAAAAUACGGAAAACCGAUGGGUAAAAAAUACUCAACGUCCGGAUAAUAUGGAAUUAAAAUUAUUUAUGCAAAAGAAUAAUGUGCAUAGACAACAGAAUGUCAAUCGCCGAUGACGUCACACCUCCACGCAUUCCUGAAAUCAGUGAGUUAAUAAAUAAAUAAAUGAACAACUGCUAACUCAUGAUUUAAUUACCU